Molecule: transfer RNA, 72 nt
Filed under: Camelus bactrianus (Bactrian camel)
Lineage: Eukaryota; Metazoa; Chordata; Mammalia; Artiodactyla; Camelidae
Also listed under: 2 other names
Rfam family: tRNA
About the family: Transfer RNA (tRNA) molecules are approximately 80 nucleotides in length. Their secondary structure includes four short double-helical elements and three loops (D, anti-codon, and T loops). Further hydrogen bonds mediate the characteristic L-shaped molecular structure. tRNAs have two regions of fundamental functional importance: the anti-codon, which is responsible for specific mRNA codon recognition, and the 3' end, to which the tRNAs corresponding amino acid is attached (by aminoacyl-tRNA synthetases). tRNAs cope with the degeneracy of the genetic code in two manners: having more than one tRNA (with a specific anti-codon) for a particular amino acid; and 'wobble' base-pairing, i.e. permitting non-standard base-pairing at the 3rd anti-codon position.
Source: Rfam by way of RNAcentral
GAGGGUAGAGCUCAGUGGUAGAGUGCGUGCUUAGCAUGCACGAGGUCCUGGGUUCUGUCCUCAGUACUUCCA